Molecule: ribosomal RNA, 492 nt
Filed under: uncultured bacterium
Lineage: Bacteria
Description: partial 16S ribosomal RNA
Rfam family: Bacterial small subunit ribosomal RNA
Source: RNAcentral
AGUGAACGCUGGCGGUAGGCCUAACACAUGCAAGUCGAACGGCAGCACAGUAUGAGCUUGCUCUUACGGGUGGCGAGUGGCGGACGGGUGAGGAAUACAUCGGAAUCUACUUUUUCGUGGGGGAUAACGUAGGGAAACUUACGCUAAUACCGCAUACGACCUACGGGUGAAAGCAGGGGAUCUUCGGACCUUGCGCGAUUGAAUGAGCCGAUGUCGGGUUAGCUAGUUGGCGGGGUAAAGGCCCACCAAGGCGACGAUCCGUAGCUGGUCUGAGAGGAUGAUCAGCCACACUGGAACUGAGACACGGUCCAGACUCCUACGGGAGGCAGCAGUGGGGAAUAUUGGACAAUGGGCGCAAGCCGGAUCCUGCCAUACCGCGUGGGGGAAGAUGGCCUUCUGGUUGUAAAGCCCUUUUGUUGGGAAAGAAAAGCAGCAGGUUAAUACCCCGCUGUUCUGACGGUACCCAAAGAAUAAGCACCGGCUAACUUCGUG